RNAcentral lists this ribosomal RNA (253 nucleotides) under uncultured bacterium. Its description in RNAcentral is "partial 16S ribosomal RNA". It matches the Rfam family "Bacterial small subunit ribosomal RNA", at positions 524 to 776 of the family's 1533-position model. The record is from RNAcentral.
UACGAAGGGGGCUAGCGUUGCUCGGAAUCACUGGGCGUAAAGGGCGCGUAGGCGGCGUUUUUAAGUCGGGGGUGAAAGCCUGUGGCUCAACCACAGAAUUGCCUUCGAUACUGGGAAGCUCGAGUCCGGGAGAGGUGAGUGGAACUGCGAGUGUAGAGGUGAAAUUCGUAGAUAUUCGCAAGAACACCAGUGGCGAAGGCGGCUCACUGGCCCGAUACUGACGCUGAGGCACGAAAGCGUGGGAGCAAACAGG